RNAcentral lists this ribosomal RNA (253 nucleotides) under uncultured bacterium. RNAcentral's name for it is "partial 16S ribosomal RNA". It matches the Rfam family "Bacterial small subunit ribosomal RNA", at positions 524 to 776 of the family's 1533-position model. The record is from RNAcentral.
GACGUAGGGCGCGAGCGUUGUCCGGAAUUAUUGGGCGUAAAGAGCUCGUAGGCGGCCUGUUGCGUCCGCUGUGAAAGCCCGGGGCUUAACCCCGGGUCGGCAGUGGAUACGGGCAGGCUAGAGGUAGGUAGGGGAGAAUGGAAUUCCCGGUGUAGCGGUGAAAUGCGUAGAGAUCGGAAGGAACGCCGGUGGCGAAAGCGGCCCGCUGGACCUGCCCUGACGCUGAGGCGCGAAAGCCAGGGGAGCAAACGGG